ACGGAGGAUGCAGGCGUUAUCCGGAUUUAUUAGGUUUAAAGGGUGCGUAGGCGGCUUGAUAAGUCAGGGGUGAAAUCUAACGGCUUAACCGUUAGUUUGCCUUUGAUACUGUUAGGCUAGAGUACGAACGAGGUAGGCGGAAUGUGCAGUGUAGCGGUGAAAUGCUUAGAUAUUGCACAGAACACCGAUUGCGGAGGCAGCUUACUAGGCCGUUACUGACGCUGAUGCACGAAAGCGUGGGGAUCAAACAG
This 251-nucleotide ribosomal RNA is filed under the name uncultured prokaryote. RNAcentral describes it as "partial 16S rRNA". It matches the Rfam family "Bacterial small subunit ribosomal RNA", at positions 525 to 775 of the family's 1533-position model. The record is from RNAcentral.